CUGUUACUGCUUCUCCUCUCCCCUGGCAUUUGCCCAGCCCUUGGGGUGAACUUGCUCUCCCUGAUGGGCAUUAGGGAUGCAGGAGGAGUAGGACACGUGCUGGAGUGAUCCCUGUGCUCCUGCAGAAUGGGCGUGUGAGCUGGUACUGCCUUUUCAUUCUGCAGCAAAGUGUCUGAGCCUGCCUUUUUGGGACCGAUCCUUUGAAUUUCACAGAAACAAGCUGCUACAGCUUUUGAAUGAACUUGCUGCUAUUUGCUCUCACUCUCUCCCUCUUCCAGCUGUAUUUCUCAUCGCAAAUAAAGCCCAAGAGGAGCCGAAGAAUUCCUAGGGAAGCACCAUUCAUAUCUUAAGAAAUUGUCACUGUCAAAAGAAAAAUGCACCAAUAAAGAAUAUCCAACCCAAAAGAUGUAUUAAAGA
RNAcentral lists this long non-coding RNA (417 nucleotides) under Cyanistes caeruleus (blue tit). Its description in RNAcentral is "lncRNA (ENSCCEG00000017687.1)". The record is from RNAcentral. Lineage: Eukaryota; Metazoa; Chordata; Aves; Passeriformes; Paridae.